CCCUUAGAUGUUCUGGGCCGCACGCGCGCUACACUGAAGGAAUCAGCGUGGCUUUCUCCCUGGUCCGAAAGGACCGGGAAACCCGUUGAAUCUCCUUCGUGAUAGGGAUUGGGGCUUGAAAUUGUUCCCCAUGAACGAGGAAUUCCCAGUAAGCGCGAGUCAUAAGCUCGCGUUGAUUACGUCCCUGCCCUUUGUACACACCGCCCGUCGCUACUACCGAUUGAACGGUUUAGUGAGGGCCUCGGAUUGGUCUCGGCCCGCUCUUCACCGGGCGGCGCCGUUGGUCGAGAAGACGCUCGAACUUGAUCGUUUAGAGGAAGUAAAAGUCGUAACA
RNAcentral lists this ribosomal RNA (334 nucleotides) under uncultured eukaryote. RNAcentral's name for it is "partial 18S ribosomal RNA". It matches the Rfam family "Eukaryotic small subunit ribosomal RNA", at positions 1470 to 1796 of the family's 1831-position model. The record is from RNAcentral.